UGCAAGUCGAGCGCAGUCCUUCGGGACCGAGCGGCGGACGGGUUAGUAACGCGUGGGAACAUACCCCUUUCUACGGAAUAGCCUCGGGAAACUGAGAGUAAUACCGUAUAAGCCCUUCGGGGGAAAGAUUUAUCGGGAAGGGAUUGGCCCGCGUUAGAUUAGAUAGUUGGUGGGGUAAUGGCCUACCAAGUCUACGAUCUAUAGCUGGUUUUAGAGGAUGAUCAGCAACACUGGGACUGAGACACGGCCCAGACUCCUACGGGAGGCAGCAGUGGGGAAUCUUAGACAAUGGGCGCAAGCCUGAUCUAGCCAUGCCGCGUGUGUGAUGAAGGUCUUAGGAUCGUAAAGCACUUUCGCCAGGGAUGAUAAUGACAGUACCUGGUAAAGAAACCCCGGCUAACUCCGUGCCAGCAGCCGCGGUAAUACGGAGGGGGUUAGCGUUGUUCGGAAUUACUGGGCGUAAAGCGUACGUAGGCGGAUCAGAAAGUUAGGGGUGAAAUCCCGAGGCUCAACCUCGGAACUGCCUCUAAAACUCCUGGUCUUGAGUUCGAGAGAGGUGAGUGGAAUUCCAAGUGUAGAGGUGAAAUUCGUAGAUAUUUGGAGGAACACC
RNAcentral lists this ribosomal RNA (610 nucleotides) under uncultured bacterium. RNAcentral describes it as "bacterial SSU rRNA". It matches the Rfam family "Bacterial small subunit ribosomal RNA", at positions 56 to 710 of the family's 1533-position model. The record is from RNAcentral.